Molecule: transfer RNA, 63 nt
Filed under: Staphylinoidea sp. 5 KM-2017
Lineage: Eukaryota; Metazoa; Arthropoda; Insecta; Coleoptera
Description: tRNA-Phe
Source: RNAcentral
AUUUUCAUAGCUUAAAUAGAGCAAGGUCUUGAAGCGGCCUGGGUAGAGUAAAUCUUGAAGAUA